CCUACGGGUGGCAGCAGUGGGGAAUAUUGGGCAAUGGAGGAAACUCUGACGCAGCAACGCCGCGUGAAUGAUGAAGGUCUUCGGAAUGUAAAGUUCUAUUCGAAGGGAAGAAGAAAGUGACGGUAGCUUAGGAAUAAGCGGCGGCUAACGACGUGCCAGCAGCCGCGGUAAGACGUAGGAGGCACGCGUUAGGAGGAAUGACUGGGAGUAAGGGGGGAGUAGGGGGUGGGAGAAGGUUGUAACGUAACUCCGUGGCUCAACCGUGGCACUGCUUCCGAAACGGUCGGACUGGAGUGCAGGAGGGGCAAGUGGAAUUCCUAGUGUAGCGGUGAAAUGCGUAGAUAUUAGGAGGAACACCAGUGGCGAAGGCGACUUGCUGGACUGUAACUGACACUGAGGCUCGAACGCGUGGGGAGCAAACAGGAUUAGAUACCCUUGUAGUC
Molecule: ribosomal RNA, 443 nt
Filed under: uncultured bacterium
Lineage: Bacteria
Description: partial 16S ribosomal RNA
Rfam family: Bacterial small subunit ribosomal RNA
Source: RNAcentral